CGCCGCCCCGCCCCCUCUGGGUGCUCUGUGUGUUCUACUGCUGGAAUCUUGGAUGGACUUCCCGAGAUCUGGGAAGAUUGGGGACAGUGUGCCAGGCGGAGGGCAGCGGCAUGGAGGCUAGACCAGCAUCGGGAGUCCAAGUACAGCACCAGAUCCCGCCACCCCAGAGUGAAGACACUGCUUCCCUGGACACAGCUGGACAGG
Non-coding RNA from Pelobates cultripes (western spadefoot toad), 204 nucleotides. NCBI's taxonomy places the organism in Eukaryota, Metazoa, Chordata, Amphibia, Anura, Pelobatidae. The record is from the annotation of a GenBank genome assembly.